Molecule: long non-coding RNA, 290 nt
Filed under: Lathyrus oleraceus (garden pea)
Lineage: Eukaryota; Viridiplantae; Streptophyta; Magnoliopsida; Fabales; Fabaceae
Description: Pisum sativum (pea) long non-coding RNA (PSAT_LNC035648)
Source: RNAcentral
CUUUAUCGCUUUUCUUUAUCGCUUUUCUUUGCUGUUUUCAGUUAGUUUGUUUAUUUUCUUUCUUAUUUUUAGAUAGUUUGUUUAUUUUUAUUGCUUUUUUAGUUGUUUACUUUAUUUCAUUUUGCUUUUAGUUUGAGUGUUUUAGAUAAUGCAUGAGUCUGACGAGUCACCAGUAUAGUGUAUUUUUAGUACAGUUUAAUCUCCCCAUAGCUUUAGCCCUACCAAAAAAAAAUUUGCAAAAGAAAACGGUGUUAUUUUGAAUGUUUUUGGGUUUUAAAGACAGGUUUGAG